RNAcentral lists this ribosomal RNA (451 nucleotides) under uncultured bacterium. RNAcentral's name for it is "bacterial SSU rRNA". It matches the Rfam family "Bacterial small subunit ribosomal RNA", at positions 354 to 796 of the family's 1533-position model. The record is from RNAcentral.
GUGAGGAAUUUUGCGCAAUGGGCGAAAGCCUGACGCAGCAACGCCGCGUGGACGAUGAAGGUCUUCGGAUCGUAAAGUCCUGUCGAGUGGGAAGAAAAGUGCGGAAGCCAACACCUUCCGCAUUCGACUGUACCACCAGAGGAAGCCCCGGCUAACUCCGUGCCAGCAGCCGCGGUAAUACGGAGGGGGCCAGCGUUGUUCGGAAUUAUUGGGCGUAAAGGGCGCGUAGGCGGCCGAAUAAGUCUGACGUGAAAUCCCCCGGCCCAACCGGGGAACUGCGUUUGAUACUGUCCGGCUCGAGUCCGGGAGAGGGUAGCGGAAUUCCCAGUGUAGCGGUGAAAUGCGUAGAUAUUGGGAGGAACACCGGUGGCGAAGGCGGCUACCUGGACCGGUACUGACGCUGAGGCGCGAAAGCUAGGGGAGCAAACAGGAUUAGAAACCCUAGUAGUCC